UCAGUAGGUGGCGAGCGUUAUCCGGAUUUACUGGGCGUAAAGCGCUUGUAGGCGGCUUCGUAAGUUGGGCGUGAAAGCUCCGGGCUUAACCCGGAGAGGCCGUCCAAUACUGCGGAGCUCGAGGGUGCCAGAGGAAGGUGGAAUUCCUGGUGUAGCGGUGAAAUGCGUAGAUAUCGGGAAGAACACCUGAGGCGAAAGCGCGCAACUGGGCCCUAACUGACGCUGAGGUACGAAAGCUAGGGGAGGGAAUGGG
RNAcentral lists this ribosomal RNA (253 nucleotides) under uncultured bacterium. RNAcentral describes it as "partial 16S ribosomal RNA". It matches the Rfam family "Bacterial small subunit ribosomal RNA", at positions 524 to 776 of the family's 1533-position model. The record is from RNAcentral.